Molecule: transfer RNA, 77 nt
Filed under: Yarrowia sp. B02
Lineage: Eukaryota; Fungi; Ascomycota; Dipodascomycetes; Dipodascales
Also listed under: 2 other names
Description: tRNA-Lys
Rfam family: tRNA
About the family: Transfer RNA (tRNA) molecules are approximately 80 nucleotides in length. Their secondary structure includes four short double-helical elements and three loops (D, anti-codon, and T loops).
Source: RNAcentral
GCCUGGCUAGCUCAAUCGGUAGAGCGUGAGACUCUUAUUCAAUCUCAAGGCUGUGGGUUCAAGCCCCACGUCGGGCU